RNAcentral lists this ribosomal RNA (275 nucleotides) under uncultured bacterium. Its description in RNAcentral is "partial 16S ribosomal RNA". It matches the Rfam family "Bacterial small subunit ribosomal RNA", at positions 338 to 608 of the family's 1533-position model. The record is from RNAcentral.
CCUACGGGUGGCUGCAGUGGGGAAUUUUGCACAAUGGAGGAAACUCUGAUGCAGCAACGCCGCGUGAGUGAAGAAGGCCCUUGGGUUGUAAAGCUCUUUCGGCUGGGAAAAAGGGUGCAGGGUAGAACCUUGUACUUGAUGGUACCAGAAGAAGAAGCACCUGCUAACUACGUGCCAGCAGCAGCGGUAAUACGUAGGGUGCGAGCGUUGUUCGGAAUCACUGGGCGUAAAGGGCGCGUAGGCGGGUUUGUAAGUUGUCUGUGAAAUUCCUGGGC